This 29-nucleotide small RNA is filed under the name Bombyx mori (domestic silkworm). RNAcentral's name for it is "ovarian small RNA-3361". Lineage: Eukaryota; Metazoa; Arthropoda; Insecta; Lepidoptera; Bombycidae. The record is from RNAcentral.
UCCCUUGGUCGCGCCCGACCAUCCGGUGA